Transfer RNA from Camelus ferus (Wild Bactrian camel), 72 nucleotides. It matches the Rfam family "tRNA". From Rfam's summary of the family: Transfer RNA (tRNA) molecules are approximately 80 nucleotides in length. Lineage: Eukaryota; Metazoa; Chordata; Mammalia; Artiodactyla; Camelidae. The record is from Rfam.
GAGGGUACAGCUCAGUGGGAGAGCACAUGCUUAGAAUGCACCAGGUCCUGGGUUCAGUCCCCAGUACAUCCA